Long non-coding RNA from Drosophila arizonae, 2604 nucleotides. NCBI's taxonomy places the organism in Eukaryota, Metazoa, Arthropoda, Insecta, Diptera, Drosophilidae. The record is from RefSeq and is a predicted model, not a curated record.
AGUGGAGGGCUGUAGUAAUUUAUUGAACAACUAUUAAACAAUGUUUAAUAUUAAUAAUGUUGCACAGAGCUUGGCCUUACCUUAGCCAAUAAUGAUUAUAAUGAAGUCCCUUAAGGAACGACUUUAAUGCAGCUUGCUGACAUAGAUGUUAAUAAUUUAUUUAAUAAUUGUUAAACUACAUUCAAUGUUGGUAAUGUUUCACAUUCAUUAGCCAUAUAUUAGGGCCAUAUGUGUGCAUUAUGCGCACUCUCCGUCGCUUGCUCUCUUAAGAGCGUAAUUAUUAUUCAUUUUGCUUUGGGCGCUAUUCGCAAUCGUUUAAUACACACGGAUGUUCAGCCAAGCAUGAGAAUAGGCUCUAAUGUUUUCUACGAUUUCCUAAGAGAAAUAUCAUAUAGAGAACCGACAAAUGUAUUUAUUCACUUCGCAUGAGAACUAUAUUAAAUAUCAUUGGAAUGCUUCCUGCUCCCUGCUCUCGUUUUUCCAUUAGACAAUCGGAGGAAUACGGAAUUGUGGCUGAAAUCAAGUAAUCUAUUGAACGCGCCAUUCUUAAAGUUAAUCGAAAUAUGUAACGAGCCGUGAGAUGUUUUAAAAUAUUAACCAUGUUGCUCAGUGUUUGUUAGUUGGUCACAAAUGAACAGGCAAUAUAUAGUUAUUAACAAGAUGAAAAACGUUAAUCAGGGCGCCGGCAGCCCGCCUGGGAUUAGGGGCUUGUCAGCAUAUGCGGGUCGGUGGCUUGCAGAGGUACUGUAAAAUAUGGCAGACUCUCCAAGCGACGCUUCAUCAUACCACAAAGCUCAGACAAUGGCGUACAAAGUCAGUCAUCAAAAUGGAGUCCAUGCUAAUGCCUCCAACCCCAGCCCGCACCCCCAACCGCAGGCACAGCGUGAUUCAAUGACAACGGCAACAUUUGUGUGCAUGCAUAGAAUAUUCUCUCGGUUGAUGAUAACAAAAUGUGGGUUGUGACAGAAAGAGACAGAGAGAGAGAGAGAGAGAGAGAGACAGCGAAAGUGAGAGAGAGAGAGAGAGUAUCAAGGAGCUGCGACAGUGGGUCUGGCCUGAUGUUUUAGGGCGAGCUACACAAAAUUUAUGUUUACAUACCCCGCUAUUCAUUUUGGCGUCGUUGUAAGUGCGGGCUCUUGCGGUAUAUUAAGUGGGUAGCAUCAACUUGGAGACGCUGCUCAGCAUUUUAUUUAAAUAAUAAAUAAUUUUGUCGACAUGAAUGAAUGAAUGAAGAGUUUUAUCUGGCUAUGGGUGCGCCACAAGCUUCAGCUUGAGUAAGUUUUUUUUUUCUUUCUUACUCCCGGUCUUUGGCUACCGUCUGCGAGAGGGUGUCUGUGUCUGUGUCUGUGUGUGUGUGAGAGUGUGAGUGUGAGUGUGUGCACUGAUUUAGGUUGGAAGCUUGUGCCAGAGCUUUGCCAUAAAUUACUAAAACGAAUUAAGCGAAACUUACUAAACGAGCGCUCAAUUGGCUGCCCAAAAAGUUGACCACGUAUUUUAAUCAGUGACUACAAAUGGCGCACAAAAAAGAGAAAGGGGCGCAAGGACGUCCGACGCGGAUGUCGGCACACGGAACAUGGCACAUGGUACGUGGGUGGAGCGGCAAGGGACAUUAACAUGCAGCCGGGUAACUGCCAGACAAUAAUCAAGUUUGGCGCUGAUUUCAUUGAGCCAAAGUAACACGACUUCAGGAUUAGUUUUCAAGCACCAGGUGCAGAAGGGAGAGAAAGGACUGAGACCAGCAUCUAAUGCACCACAAAGAGGCAGCCAACCACUUAAAGAUUAAGUGCAGAUUCAGCCAGGCGCGACUCGAGCGAAUGGGAGCAAGUUAAGGCAAAAGCCAGGCAGCAGACUGGGGGAAGGCAGAGAGGUAGAGAGGCAGGGGGGCACUCUGAAGGCUUAGAAGUGGGGGCAAAGCUGCUUGCCAAAGUGCGGAUUGGGGCAGAUUUGUUGGCUGGCUGAGCUGAGAGCGAUGGGGUUGUGGGAGGGAGACUCGCUUUGGGUUCACUCAAACAAAGCUAAUUAACAGAUUUGUCAGCUUUUCAUCACUUCGCGCACGGCCAUUGUCUUACGACAGUUGUUUGACUUUUGCACUUUUUUAAGAGACAAACAAAAAACAAUGAGCGACGCACAACAACAACGAAAGGCAAGCCAGCAACCUGGUCGGGGGCGUGACUGAAAAAAAGUAACUGCAAAGAAUGCAAAGUAUUGUACACAAAGUGCGCCCAGACGAUACGGGUAUCGACACACACACACACACACAUAUAUAUAUAUUGAGAAGAAACUCCUUCAAUUGCUAAUUACAAAGGGAAGAAAGUUGGUUACAAAAGUCGGUGGGUGGCAGUGGGAGGGAUUUGUGGAACUUGGCAACUUGUUAGGCCAGCAAUUUAACUGGAAAUUUAUUAGAGACGAAACAGCUGGCAGCAGCAAACAUUACAAGCUAAUUGGCCCAGUUAACAGAAAUGUGGGCCGGCAAGUGCGCAUCACAGACUUUAAAACCAACUAAACUAAAACUAAAACUGAAAACCAAAAACCAAAAACCAAAAACCAAAACCAACGGCGAGCCAAGCGCAACGCACCAAAGACGAAGGCUAUAAAAGAAAAAAA